This 730-nucleotide ribosomal RNA is filed under the name Cladosporium sp. Its description in RNAcentral is "eukaryotic LSU rRNA". It matches the Rfam family "Eukaryotic large subunit ribosomal RNA", at positions 111 to 867 of the family's 3401-position model. The record is from RNAcentral. Lineage: Eukaryota; Fungi; Ascomycota; Dothideomycetes; Cladosporiales; Cladosporiaceae.
AAAUUUGAAAUCUGGCGUCUUCGGCGUCCGAGUUGUAAUUUGUAGAGGAUGCUUCUGGGCAGCCACCGACCUAAGUUCCUUGGAACAGGACGUCAUAGAGGGUGAGAAUCCCGUAUGCGGUCGGAAAGGCACCCUACACGUAGCUCCUUCGACGAGUCGAGUUGUUUGGGAAUGCAGCUCUAAAUGGGAGGUAAAUUUCUUCUAAAGCUAAAUAUUGGCCAGAGACCGAUAGCGCACAAGUAGAGUGAUCGAAAGAUGAAAAGCACUUUGGAAAGAGAGUUAAAAAGCACGUGAAAUUGUUGAAAGGGAAGGGAUUGCAACCAGACUUGCUCGCGGUGUUCCGCCGGUCUUCUGACCGGUCUACUCGCCGCGUUGCAGGCCAGCAUCGUCUGGUGCCGCUGGAUAAGACUUGAGGAAUGUAGCUCCCUCGGGAGUGUUAUAGCCUCUUGUGAUGCAGCGAGCGCCGGGCGAGGUCCGCGCUUCGGCUAGGAUGCUGGCGUAAUGGUUGUAAUCCGCCCGUCUUGAAACACGGACCAAGGAGUCUAACAUCUAUGCGAGUGUUCGGGUGUCAAACCCCUACGCGUAAUGAAAGUGAACGGAGGUGAGAACCGCAAGGUGCAUCAUCGACCGAUCCUGAUGUCUUCGGAUGGAUUUGAGUAUGAGCAUAGCUGUUGGGACCCGAAAGAUGGUGAACUAUGCCUGAAUAGGGUGAAGCCAGAGGAAACUCUGG